CGAGCGAGCGAUGAAUUUUCGGAUGGAUUGCUGAGCGGCGGACGGGUGAGUAACGCGUGGGUACCUGCCUCAUACAGGGGGAUAACAGUUAGAAAUGACUGCUAAUACCGCAUAAGGCCGCAUGGUAAAAACUCCGGUGGUAUGAGAUGGACCCGCGUCUGAUUAGCUGGUUGGUGGGGUAACGGCCUACCAAGGCGACGAUCAGUAGCCGACCUGAGAGGGUGACCGGCCACAUUGGGACUGAGACACGGCCCAAACUCCUACGGGAGGCAGCAGUGGGGAAUAUUGCACAAUGGGGGAAACCCUGAUGCAGCAACGCCGCGUGAGGAAGAAGUAUUUCGGUAUGUAAAGCUCUAUCAGCAGGGAAGAAAAUGACGGUACCUGACUAAGAAGCCCCGGCUAACUACGUGCCAGCAGCCGCGGUAAUACGUAGGGGGCAAGCGUUAUCCGGAUUUACUGGGUGUAAAGGGAGCGUAGACGGCGAGACAAGUCUGAAGUGAAAGCCCGGGGCUCAACCCCCGGACUGCUUUGGAAACUGCCUUGCUGGAGUGUCGGAGAGGUAAGUGGAAUUCCUAGUGUAGCGGUGAAAUGCGUAGAUAUUAGGAGGAACACCAGUGGCGAAGGCGGCUUACUGGACGAUAACUGACGUUGAGGCUCG
This 658-nucleotide ribosomal RNA is filed under the name uncultured bacterium. Its description in RNAcentral is "bacterial SSU rRNA". It matches the Rfam family "Bacterial small subunit ribosomal RNA", at positions 63 to 755 of the family's 1533-position model. The record is from RNAcentral.